Molecule: ribosomal RNA, 358 nt
Filed under: uncultured bacterium
Lineage: Bacteria
Description: bacterial SSU rRNA
Rfam family: Bacterial small subunit ribosomal RNA
Source: RNAcentral
CCUGUUGUGGGGGAUAACUAGUCGAAAGAUUAGCUAAUACCGCAUACGACCUGAGGGUGAAAGUGGGGGACCGCAAGGCCUCACGCAGCAGGAGCGGCCGAUGUCUGAUUAGCUAGUUGGUGGGGUAAAGGCCCACCAAGGCGACGAUCAGUAGCUGGUCUGAGAGGACGAUCAGCCACACUGGGACUGAGACACGGCCCAGACUCCUACGGGAGGCAGCAGUGGGGAAUUUUGGACAAUGGGGGCAACCCUGAUCCAGCAAUGCCGCGUGAGUGAAGAAGGCCUUCGGGUUGUAAAGCUCUUUUGUCAGGGAAGAAACGGUGAGGGCUAAUAUCCUUUGCUAAUGACGGUACCUGAA